This 1614-nucleotide long non-coding RNA is filed under the name Capra hircus (goat). RNAcentral describes it as "lncRNA (ENSCHIG00010015972.1)". The record is from RNAcentral. Lineage: Eukaryota; Metazoa; Chordata; Mammalia; Artiodactyla; Bovidae.
AUGAGAGAAUUGUAUGAAGGAUUUGGCUCAGCUCCUGAUACACAAGAAGCUCCCCAGACCUAUCCCUGGCGGAGAGGCACCAGUAUCCACACACUGCCCGAUCUUUUCUCCCGGGACCUUGAUGUCACAGUGACGUAUGUAACUCAACCUGAAUUAAGCCCAUCAUCUCCCUGGCUCCCUGUUUUUCCCUGCCGCCUCCUGUUUCUCUUCCCCACCCGUUAUCUUGGUUCAUGGCACCGCGAUUCUCCCAGACGCUCAUGCUCAAUCUCAGAGUUAUCUUGGGCUUCUUUCCCCACAUCUAAUCGAGCGCCAGACCCGACUGUCAGUCUCUGUCAUGCCUCAUCCCUCCCUUCAUUUUCAUUCCUGAAGCUGUCCUUCGGAUUGGCCCGACCCCUCACCUGGACUGGAGGAUAACCUCGGAACGUGCUUCCUGCCGUGUCUCUUCCUCCCUGCCCCUCUCUCUACCAGCCAUCACCAGCACCUUUCAAACACUGUUACCAUGGUGACCUUAAUGCACAGCUCCAAGUGGAUCACUUCUGCUGACCAGUCCUCUGUAUCUCUGACCUCCACUUUCGGCCACAGGAUAAAACCAGUAGCUCCAGCCUGCCCUUGAAAUCUCUCACAAUUUGAUUUUAACCUACUUUUCCAGGAUCCUCCAUCGCUCUCGCCUAACACACACUGAAUCUUCAUCACCCUCAUCUGCUCAGCCUUCCUCCAAUAUUUCUAGAGAACCUCACUGAAAAUUUUUCCUCCCUGCCUAGAAUCUACUCACACACCAGUGAUGCUUGUUCAAGUCCAUCCACACUUGGAAUUUGAAUUCACAGCCCCCGGACUCAAUGGAGUCUUCCUGGAGGUCUGUGCCCUGCCAGCCUGUUGGAUCCCCUCUCUCGCUUUCAUAUUUUCUUUUUGAAAAAGUGCUUAUGGUUUUUCUUGAACUCUUCUUCUUCUCCCCUACUAGACUUUUGAAUUCCUGGAAUACAGGAACUCUGGCUCAGUCAUCUUCACAUCGUUGAUUAGACUUGGCACAUAGUUUAAGAAGUUUGAUAAAUUUCUAGACUCUCAUAGAGCUAAGACAGGUGAGCCCUGGUUCCACGCCCCCUUCUCUGUCUCCUUUCCCUGAGCAGCUCUGUCCUGCCCCCACUCUUUGGUAGACAGCACUGUCAUCCACUCAAACUCGGUCUCCAAACUCAGGAGUCUCAUCCUGGACUCCUCUGUCUCUUCCCCCAUCCUAAACCCAGUCCACCACCAGAUCAGCUCUCCUUCCAAAACCGGUCCCAAAUGUGUCCACUUGUCCCACCAACUGGCCACCAGCCUGUCUGAAGCACCGCCACCCUGCUCUCCUGGACUGUGGCCGUGACUCCCAGGUCAUCGCCUUGCCUCUGUUCUUGCCGGCCCGUGCUCUGAUCUCCUCGCUGACAUGAGAGCGCGCUUCGGACACGUACGUCAGAGUCUCGUCACGAGCUGACUUGGCGUCCUGCAGUGCCUCGUCUCAUGGAUGCUGACUUCUUACUCGGGUUUAUGGAGCACUGCGUCCUCUUUCUCUAAUCACACAUUACACGGCUCUCCCCGGUGCCCGCACCAUCUCCAGCCAUAGGGACCUUUCUCCAGUAAACU